RNAcentral lists this ribosomal RNA (521 nucleotides) under uncultured bacterium. Its description in RNAcentral is "bacterial SSU rRNA". It matches the Rfam family "Bacterial small subunit ribosomal RNA", at positions 988 to 1509 of the family's 1533-position model. The record is from RNAcentral.
CCAGAGAACUUUCCAGAGAUGGAUUGGUGCCUUCGGGAACUCUGAGACAGGUGCUGCAUGGCUGUCGUCAGCUCGUGUUGUGAAAUGUUGGGUUAAGUCCCGCAACGAGCGCAACCCUUAUCCUUUGUUGCCAGCGGUUAGGCCGGGAACUCAAAGGAGACUGCCAGUGAUAAACUGGAGGAAGGUGGGGAUGACGUCAAGUCAUCAUGGCCCUUACGAGUAGGGCUACACACGUGCUACAAUGGCGCAUACAAAGAGAAGCGACCUCGCGAGAGCAAGCGGACCUCAUAAAGUGCGUCGUAGUCCGGAUUGGAGUCUGCAACUCGACUCCAUGAAGUCGGAAUCGCUAGUAAUCGUGGAUCAGAAUGCCACGGUGAAUACGUUCCCGGGCCUUGUACACACCGCCCGUCACACCAUGGGAGUGGGUUGCAAAAGAAGUAGGUAGCUUAACCUUCGGGAGGGCGCUUACCACUUUGUGAUUCAUGAUUGGGGUGAAGUCGUAACAAGGUAAGCGUAGUGCU